Molecule: long non-coding RNA, 229 nt
Filed under: Capsicum annuum
Lineage: Eukaryota; Viridiplantae; Streptophyta; Magnoliopsida; Solanales; Solanaceae
Description: long non-coding RNA (CANN_LNC005724)
Source: RNAcentral
AACAACGUAAGCUUGCGAAAUUAAAGGGAUGAGGCAACAAGAAAAAUACUCAUGAUUUCUAGAAUUGAACAAACAUAGACACCAAUCCAUAUAACAAAAGAAAAUAAAGGCUAACUUUUCAAUAAAGAGAAUCUUUAAAUUUCAAUUAAGGCGACAUUAACGAAAAUUCAUACAUAUAAAUUACAACCAACAUCUUAUUGAAAAACGUGUAACGACCUAUGAUUUUUAU